Molecule: long non-coding RNA, 679 nt
Filed under: Olea europaea subsp. europaea
Lineage: Eukaryota; Viridiplantae; Streptophyta; Magnoliopsida; Lamiales; Oleaceae
Source: RNAcentral
UUGUGAUUUAUUUUGACGGGGAAAAAGAAAAGCACAAGGCAAAAAUACUAGAUUCUACUUCAAUCUAACAUGAGUUUUCCCUUUCAUCUUCCUUUGGUUAUUUUCACGAUUAAGACUGCACCUUGCGAAAUUUCUGUAAUUAAAGAACUAUGGUAUCACAUUGAACUUGCACUAUAGUACAAAAAUUGCCAAGGUGUUAGAAAUCUAAGUUUCUAUGCUUUAAACAACCAAAACAAUUGAUGGAGAUCCCUAGACAUGUUAUAUGGAAGAGUUUCCAACUUAAAAUACUUAUUUUAGGUCAAGUAAUUAGGGUGGGCUUUAUAUAUUUCCUAGUAUUUUAUUAGUUAUUUCUUACUUAAAAUAGAUUAGAUUAAAACCUAUGAAGUGACACAUGUAUUAUUAGUCAGACUUUUAUUGAAUAAACUCAUAUUUCUCCCUCUAUUUUCUUAAUUCUCUCCCUUCUCUUUCUUUCUUCUCAAGGCUCAUUUCUUGUUAAUUGCAUGUGUUCAUUAUCAACAAUUUUUGUAGCCUUCUAAUCUGUUGGUCCCACAUUGAAUACCUUCAUUUCCUAUUCAUGAUUUCAAAAUUCAUAUUUUGAGAAUACCCUCUUCUUUAAUUACUGUUUUCAGAAUUAUUGAGUUAAAAAAAAAAAAUAAUAAAAACAAUAAAUAAAUAAAAC